Molecule: ribosomal RNA, 301 nt
Filed under: uncultured bacterium
Lineage: Bacteria
Description: partial 16S ribosomal RNA
Rfam family: Bacterial small subunit ribosomal RNA
Source: RNAcentral
CAGUCGCCGCGGGAACACGUAGGUGGCAAGCGUUGUCCGGAAUUAUUGGGCGUAAAGGGCUCGCAGGCGGUUUCUUAAGUCUGAUGUGAAAGCCCCCGGCUCAACCGGGGAGGGUCAUUGGAAACUGGGAAACUUGAGUGCAGAAGAGGAGAGUGGAAUUCCACGUGUAGCGGUGAAAUGCGUAGAGAUGUGGAGGAACACCAGUGGCGAAGGCGACUCUCUGGUCUGUAACUGACGCUGAGGAGCGAAAGCGUGGGGAGCGAACAGGAUUAGAUACCCCAGUAGUCCCUGUCUCUUAUAA